This 871-nucleotide long non-coding RNA is filed under the name Citrus maxima (pomelo). Its description in RNAcentral is "long non-coding RNA (CMAX_LNC001090)". Lineage: Eukaryota; Viridiplantae; Streptophyta; Magnoliopsida; Sapindales; Rutaceae. The record is from RNAcentral.
ACUGAUUGUAACCCAAUACUUGAAAAUUCCAUGGCGGUGCUAAAAGUAGUUCUUCGAACUUCUGAGCAUAUCCUUUAAUUACAAUAAGCAGGACAUAUUUGAAAGAGUAAUCUUGCCAACGCUAUGUAGUUUUGUUUCUUCUCCUUUUAAAAGUUGUUUAAUUACACGCAUUAACAUUAAAAAAAAAAAAAAAAUUGGCCGUCACAUGCGUUAAACUAUAUAUAAAUUAUAUUUUAUCAAUCGUGACACGUUUAUUUAGCACUUUUAAGAAAUCGUGUCCACAGGCAUGGAUGGUUUCUCGUCUGUCUUCCUCCCUCAUGGUCACGAGGUUCAUAAAUGCGUUUCAAGUGCCCGACCAAUUAAUUGUUUACAGAGAAAUCAUAACUAAAAAUCAUAUUACAGGUGAUAUAUAGACAUGUGGCAACAGAAAAUAUGACCUCGUUCUGUGAUUUCGAUCCAUGCAGCGACGCACGUGGAAACCAUUUAUAGAAGGAGAUGAUCGGCAGUGACACCCCCGAGCGUAGAUGCUUUGCAGUGACAAGUUGCCGCACAUGAUCACUAGUUGUGAAAUCCACUGCAGAUCAUGAGCAUUAACCAAUAAUUGUCAGGAGUUCAUUUGGAAACUAUGACCGGAUUAUUGGGCAUGGCUGAAAAAAUCAAUUCAAACUAUGUAUGAUUUAGCUGUGGCCUGUAGGUAAUUUAACUUGCAGCUAACUAUUGGCUGGGCGGCCACAUGAAUCAUGUUAUCUACUUAAAUUCUAGACCUAACCUUAUCGGUUUGUUUCUAUUGAAGUAGUGUACGUACCUGUCAGGUGUCACUACUCUUAUCUGUCUCUUCUCUCUCCGUGGGUCACAUGUAUAUUACUGAUUA